CGGCAGCACGGGGCAACCUGGUGGCGAGUGGCGAACGGGUGAGUAAUAUAUCGGAACGUACCCAGAAGUGGGGGAUAACGCAGCGAAAGUUGCGCUAAUACCGCAUACGAUCUACGGAUGAAAGUGGGGGACCUGCAAGGGCCUCAUGCUUUUGGAGCGGCCGAUAUCUGAUUAGCUAGUUGGUGAGGUAAAGGCUCACCAAGGCAUCGAUCAGUAGCUGGUCUGAGAGGACGACCAGCCACACUGGAACUGAGACACGGUCCAGACUCCUACGGGAGGCAGCAGUGGGGAAUUUUGGACAAUGGGGGCAACCCUGAUCCAGCAAUGCCGCGUGAGUGAAGAAGGCCUUCGGGUUGUAAAGCUCUUUUGUCAGGGAAGAAACGGUGGUCUCUAAUAUAGAUUACUAAUGACGGUACCUGAAGAAUAAGCACCGGCUAACUACGUGCCAGCAGCCGCGGUAAUACGUAGGGUGCAAGCGUUAAUCGGAAUUACUGGGCGUAAAGCGUGCGCAGGCGGUUAUGUAAGUCAGCUGUGAAAUCCCCGGGCUUAACCUGGGAAUGGCAGUUGAGACUGCAUGGCUAGAGUGUGUCAGAGGGGGGUAGAAUUCCACGUGUAGCAGUGAAAUGCGUAGAGAUGUGGAGGAAUACCGAUGGCGAAGGCAGCCCCCUGGGAUAACACUGACGCUCAUGCACGA
Molecule: ribosomal RNA, 694 nt
Filed under: uncultured beta proteobacterium
Lineage: Bacteria; Pseudomonadati; Pseudomonadota; Betaproteobacteria
Description: bacterial SSU rRNA
Rfam family: Bacterial small subunit ribosomal RNA
Source: RNAcentral